AUGAACGCUGGCGGCGUGCCUAAUCCCUGCAAGUCGAGCGAACAGACGAGGAGCUUGCUCCUCUGACGCUAGCGGCGGACGGGUGAGUAACACGUGGAUAACCUACCUAUAAGACUGGGAUAACUUCGGGAAACCGGAGCUAAUACCGGAUAAUAUAUUGAACCGCAUGGUUCAAUAGUGAAAGACGGUUUUGCUGUCACUUAUAGAUGGAUCCGCGCCGCAUUAGCUAGUUGGUAAGGUAACGGCUUACCAAGGCAACGAUGCGUAGCCGACCUGAGAGGGUGAUCGGCCACACUGGAACUGAGACACGGUCCAGACUCCUACGGGAGGCAGCAGUAGGGAAUCUUCCGCAAUGGGCGAAAGCCUGACGGAGCAACGCCGCGUGAGUGAUGAAGGUCUUCGGAUCGUAAAACUCUGUUAUUAGGGAAGAACAAAUGUGUAAGUAACUAUGCACGUCUUGACGGUACCUAAUCAGAAAGCCACGGCUAACUACGUG
Molecule: ribosomal RNA, 496 nt
Filed under: uncultured bacterium
Lineage: Bacteria
Description: partial 16S ribosomal RNA
Rfam family: Bacterial small subunit ribosomal RNA
Source: RNAcentral